UACGAAGGGAGCUAGCGUUGUUCGGAAUCACUGGGCGUAAAGCGCACGUAGGCGGGUUUGUCAGUCAGGGGUGAAAUCCCGGAGCUCAACUCCGGAACUGCCCUUGAUACAGCAAGCCUUAGAGUCCGGAAGAGGUAGGUGGAAUUCCUAGUGUAGAGGUGAAAUUCGUAGAUAUUAGGAAGAACACCAGUGGCGAAGGCGGCCUACUGGUCCGGCACUGACGCUGAGGUGCGAAAGCGUGGGGAGCAAACAGG
RNAcentral lists this ribosomal RNA (254 nucleotides) under uncultured bacterium. RNAcentral's name for it is "partial 16S ribosomal RNA". It matches the Rfam family "Bacterial small subunit ribosomal RNA", at positions 524 to 776 of the family's 1533-position model. The record is from RNAcentral.